This 119-nucleotide ribosomal RNA is filed under the name Jaculus jaculus (lesser Egyptian jerboa). Lineage: Eukaryota; Metazoa; Chordata; Mammalia; Rodentia; Dipodidae. The record is from RNAcentral.
ACUAAGUCAUAUCACCUUGAGUGUGUCCAAUCUUUUCUGAUCUCAAAAAGCUAAGCAAGGUAGGGUUUGGCUAGUCCUUGGAUAGGAGAAACUGUCUGGAAAGUUAAGGACAUUUAACU